CUUAAGCUCCUUAUAUAAAGAUAUUUCUUUUAUUAGAA
Molecule: transfer RNA, 38 nt
Filed under: Dicranomyia swezeyi
Lineage: Eukaryota; Metazoa; Arthropoda; Insecta; Diptera; Limoniidae
Description: partial tRNA-Leu
Source: RNAcentral